CGUAAUCACGCAUGUACGCACAACACGCAGGAGGCACGUAGUCAGCCAUGCAUAUAGACAGCCAAGUCAUUAUGAAUCUCGCAUUCUCGAAGACACGCACUGACGACAUCACGCACGUACGCACGCCCUGGCUGCUAGGAGACGCUAUUCCCUUUACCAGGCCCUCAUGCGGGCCAGCCAGCCAGGCAAAGGCCAGGGGAGCUCGAGACUGGCAACCUGGGCGAAGAACCGGAAGGAGGAAAAGGAAACGGAGGGAGAAAGAUCUCCCGCAUUGACUUUAUAAGCAAGUUUUGAGUCCCUGCCUCUGGAGUGCCUGAUGAGACAAAACUGCUCCUCGUCCUGCAUCCCCGCUGCUACUUCCAGAACUCAGGGCUCGUGGUCUGGAGCCUGCACUGUUCCAUGAGCCUCCUGACCAACCUGGAAGCCUCUGUCUUUCCUCCCUCAGUGAGAUGCACCUACUUCUCCCUGGAGAAGCUCGAGGAAGCAGGAAUACUGAAGAUGAGAGACCACAUCUGCUCAGGGGUUUAUUCUUCCAUCUGUUUGCAGGGCUGUUUUGGACUCAGUAUUCACCUAAGCACUCCAAACUGUAAGUAACCCCAGAGCUCAUGGAGUGUCCCACUGCCCCUCCAUCUGGAGGCUGUGGCACCUCCCCCGAAGAGGAGGUGCUUGCAUGCGUCCAGUGCCCUGCCCAUUAGAUUAGAGAGGGCUCCCUUCUUUGCUCUCUUGCACUCAUUUGUCUGCCUUUUAGCUUUCCUUUUCUGCCCUGGACUCACACAGGGUCGCGUGAACGUGUGGUGUAGCAGGAGGAGACAGGUAAAGUGGAGGAAUAGGAGCUGGAGGGGAGCAGAAGGGAAGAAAAGAGGAGGGGGAGGGGAAAGAGAGGGAGUGGGUGGAAGGAGGAGAAGGGGAGGAGGUGAAGGAGGAGAGGAGGACACAGAAAAGAGAAGAAAAAGGA
Molecule: non-coding RNA, 955 nt
Organism: Macaca mulatta (Rhesus monkey)
Lineage: Eukaryota; Metazoa; Chordata; Mammalia; Primates; Cercopithecidae
Source: RefSeq, a predicted model, not a curated record